GUCGAACGAUGAUGCCCAGCUUGCUGGGUUGAUUAGUGGCGAACGGGUGAGUAACACGUGAGUAACCUGCCCCUGACUCUGGGAUAAGCGUUGGAAACGACGUCUAAUACUGGAUAUGAUCGCCGGCCGCAUGGUCUGGUGGUGGAAAGAUUUUUUGGUUGGGGAUGGACUCGCGGCCUAUCAGCUUGUUGGUGAGGUAAUGGCUCACCAAGGCGACGACGGGUAGCCGGCCUGAGAGGGUGACCGGCCACACUGGGACUGAGACACGGCCCAGACUCCUACGGGAGGCAGCAGUGGGGAAUAUUGCACAAUGGGCGAAAGCCUGAUGCAGCAACGCCGCGUGAGGGAUGACGGCCUUCGGGUUGUAAACCUCUUUUAGUAGGGAAGAAGCGAAAGUGACGGUACCUGCAGAAAAAGCACCGGCUAACUACGUGCCAGCAGCCGCGGUAAUACGUAGGGUGCAAGCGUUGUCCGGAAUUAUUGGGCGUAAAGAGCUCGUAGGCGGUUUGUCGCGUCUGCUGUGAAAUCCCGAGGCUCAACCUCGGGCUUGCAGUGGGUACGGGCAGACUAGAGUGCGGUAGGGGAGAUUGGAAUUCCUGGUGUAGCGGUGGAAUGCGCAGAUAUCAGGAGGAACACCGAUGGCGAAGGCAGAUCUCUGGGCCGUAACUGACGCUGANGAGCGAAAGCNUGGGGAGCGAANAGGAUUAGAUACCCUGGUAGUCCAUGCCGUAAACGUUGGGCGCUAGAUGUAGGGACNUUUCCNCGGUUUCUGUGUCGUA
This 779-nucleotide ribosomal RNA is filed under the name Curtobacterium flaccumfaciens. RNAcentral's name for it is "bacterial SSU rRNA". It matches the Rfam family "Bacterial small subunit ribosomal RNA", at positions 61 to 850 of the family's 1533-position model. The record is from RNAcentral. Lineage: Bacteria; Bacillati; Actinomycetota; Actinomycetes; Micrococcales; Microbacteriaceae.